AGCGCGCCAGGCUGUAGAGCAGGAUGCCCGUGUUCCAGGCGCGGGUCAGCAGCCACAUGAUCUGUGUCUCCGGAAAGCUGUCCGGCUACAGGAAAGAUCCAGAAAAGAGCCAGAUGGGAGAAGAUUUGAAGCGUCAUUAAACAGAAGGAAGCGCUCGCUGACAUAAGAUUCACGUGACGACCUGGCGCACUAACCCGGCCGGCGUGAGGAGCGGCCCUGUAGAACUGAAGAGCGGCGGCAACGGCCAUGAGCAAACACAUCUUCUGGGCCGUGAGAAUGACGCGCUCGGGACUACACAUCUGGCACAGCUGGACAGAAGCACAUGAGAAUCCUGCUUGGUUAUUACUCAGUGGACACAAAUUGGGUGAGUGCAAAUGCUGCAUUUUCUUUGACACCGCCAGGGAGGCAUCUUGCAUCAUACAUGACAACAGCUGUUUCGAGACAUUGCUAUAUUGUUUAUUAGCAUUCCACGUAGAGACCACAAUAAUAAACUUGAUGUGAAAGAGCAUUUUAGUCAUCCUGAACCCCGGCGGCGGCCACUCUUACCUGGUAAGAAAGCAGAAAGAAAUCCCGCAUUCUGUCCGGGUUGCUCUCACACUGCAGUGCUGCAUUCCAAGCUACAAUCAAAAGAAAAAAAAUGAUUCGAAACGUUUGUGGUCAGAUUGCGCCAAACCGAGGAAGAAUCUUGGCUACCGAUUUUCCUGAACCAGUUGGCUUCUUCCGUGCGUUGUUCGGCUGUCAAGCACAGCCGUUGUGAAAGCUUCUGCAGCGCUGCGUUGACGGCAGACAAAAACAUUUGCAGCUUAUGAUGGGGCUAAAGACAAGACGAAUAUUCACACGCAGCAUACCCAUCUUUAAAUAAGGCAGCAGCGCGUCCGUAUUGUCGUUCCUGCAGAGAAGUCUCAAAAGUGAAUUUGACGUUUGGAAUCAAAAUUUUCAGUAUGUACCUUUUCUCAUCAUUGGGGGCUUCUAUGGCCGUGAGUGCGAGUCGAACCAGGCACCUGGGAAAAGAGCAAUAAUCUUUAAUAAUCAACUGUCUCUAAUUUGAAUGUCUUUUCCAAAUCCGUUUUUUUUAAGGGGAGGAAAUAUUGCUAUGUGGAUUAGGUGUGGAAGUGUAGAAAAGCAUUAACUCACUGAGAGAUGCCAUUCAAAGAUGUAUUUGAACAAGACAAGGAUUUCACUUUUAUUAAAAAAAAAAAAAAAGGCUUCUCCCUAUCCUUGUAUUGAUUUUAAGACAGCAACGUGUCUGCUGACUACAAAGUCGACAAACUCCGGGUUCACUCGUUUUAGAUUUUGUCGCUGUUCUCAAAGGUCUUCGAGCCAUUUGGGAUGCAAUAAAUAGAAUGAUGAGCUGACAAAACUGUUCGAUCAUGCAAAAUAAAUCUGCACGCACAUACUGUACUCUCGAAGCUGACCUGUUCCAUCUCCUCUAAAGCAUUACAGGGAUUCAUUAGAAACAAAACACACUGACUAAAAUGUAUUUGACUUGCUUUUUUCUCCCCUCAUUUUCACCAACCUGAGAGCCUUCAGAACCAGAGCUUCAUCUUUGGAGGUUUCACACACAUUUUCCAGGACCUUCAUGGCCAUGUCAUUCUGUUUAUUCUGUCACAGAAAGCAAGGAAGGUUUUUACCGAAGUCAAAUUCCUUGUUUGGCACGCUCAAACAUGGCGAAUAAAAACUCUUGAAUCUUGAAAACAUCUUUUGAUGCCCCAAGCAGAUUCAACACACAGACACACACAGAAAGACAUUGGAUACCUCCAAGGCCAUCUGAGCAGCCUGGCAGAGGAGGCUGGAUGUGGCGUUCUCGGACAAGGGUCCGGCCUCUUUGAGAUCCUUGGACAGAAGCGCCAUCGUGUUCACUGCCUUGGCCGCUAAUCCGCACACAGCAGGAGCUCGACGUGCAGGACGAGAGCGGUUUCCAAGGCGGGAGAUGACUCAAACUGCUGACAGGCACGAUUUAAAAGGUCUAAAGCUGGCGCCUCUCUGGGAGAAGAAACGGACAGAGACCACAGCAUUCAUUUUAUAUUGUUAAUAUCCAGGUAAAAAAACAUUUGGGUAUGUACCUGCUUUCAGACAGGAGGAACUUGACUGUAGUGAGGCAAACUUGAAGUGAAACGUCAGAUUGUAGCAUCUCAUCCAGACCUGCCAACGCGUUUCAGUCCAACUACUUCAAUCUCAAGAGGGAGUGUUUUGAGAUAAAAUGGCAGGCAGGAUUUUUUUUUCAUGAAUGGAUUUACCCGCUGUGAUGCUUUCAUCCGAGGCCCCGGAUCUCAGGAGUAUUUUGAUCUUUAAAAAGAGCCCGAAGGCGCUCACACAUUCCUGACAAAAUGGGCGCACUGCUUACAUGCUGCUGUUUUUUCUUUUAUAUGUUAUAACUUCAUUUUCAGAUCUGACCUUGUUGGCUAAAUCCACGGCAUUAAGGGCCUCUUUGUGAAACCUCUGAACGUCCCAGUCCAGAUAAGCAGUGGCCAGCAGACGCAAAGUCUUGGCCUGAAGACGGUCCAAAACAAACACAUUCUUGUUUGUAUUGUUGCUGGACAACUCGUACAAAUUAUUAAGCAGGUUGAAACAAAACCAUGAGGGAGUGUCUCCUCAGUGCCAAAGUACUGCGACAGGCUGCAUCAAAAUUGAAAGUCUGGACGAUUUCAAGGCAGAAACAAGACUUUGAACAACCAAGUUGGAUUUUUGGGAAUGACUUUCAUUCAUUCAUUCACUCACUCAUUCAUUCAUUCAUUCAUCCGCUUCAACGUUGUGUACAAGCAAGGACACGAUUGUCUUCUUACCUGAAUCUGGGCUUCAAGACCAUAUUUCUCAUGAAUCUUGCUGAUAUCAUA
Long non-coding RNA from Syngnathus typhle (broad-nosed pipefish), 2834 nucleotides. RefSeq lists it as uncharacterized. The transcript is spliced from 3 exons. Lineage: Eukaryota; Metazoa; Chordata; Actinopteri; Syngnathiformes; Syngnathidae. The record is from RefSeq and is a predicted model, not a curated record.